RNAcentral lists this transfer RNA (72 nucleotides) under Mariniblastus fucicola. RNAcentral describes it as "tRNA-Trp". It matches the Rfam family "tRNA". Rfam says of the family: Transfer RNA (tRNA) molecules are approximately 80 nucleotides in length. The record is from RNAcentral. Lineage: Bacteria; Pseudomonadati; Planctomycetota; Planctomycetia; Pirellulales; Pirellulaceae.
ACGUCCUUGGUGUAACGGCAGCAUCACUGAUUCCAAACCAGUUGGUCGGGGUUCGAAUCCCUGGGGGCGUGC